AUGAACGCUGGCGGCGUGCUUAACACAUGCAAGUCGCACGGGAAACCUUUUAAUGAAGCUUCGGCAGAUUUAGCUGGUUUCUAGUGGCGGACGGGUGAGUAACGCGUGGGUAACCUGCCUUAUACAGGGGGAUAACAGUCAGAAAUGACUGCUAAUACCGCAUAAGCGCACAGGACCGCAUGGUCCGGUGUGAAAAACUCCGGUGGUAUAAGAUGGACCCGCGUUGGAUUAGCUUGUUGGUGGGGUAACGGCUCACCAAGGCGACGAUCCAUAGCCGGCCUGAGAGGGUGAACGGCCACAUUGGGACUGAGACACGGCCCAGACUCCUACGGGAGGCAGCAGUGGGGAAUAUUGCACAAUGGGGGAAACCCUGAUGCAGCGACGCCGCGUGAAGGAAGAAGUAUCUCGGUAUGUAAACUUCUAUCAGCAGGGAAGAUAGUGACGGUACCUGACUAAGAAGCCCCGGCUAACUACGUG
RNAcentral lists this ribosomal RNA (477 nucleotides) under uncultured bacterium. Its description in RNAcentral is "partial 16S ribosomal RNA". It matches the Rfam family "Bacterial small subunit ribosomal RNA", at positions 29 to 507 of the family's 1533-position model. The record is from RNAcentral.